CAAUGUUGAGCUCACAAGUGGCCACGUCAUGUUAUCUAGUGGCAUCCACAACUCACAUUAGCAUCUUGUACUGCAGCAAUACUAAAUUACUCUGUCAAUUCACAUUUAUUAAUUUUCUAGAAGACCCAAGCUUAAAUAAAAUAUAGUAUGAAGGUAAGGAGGAUAAUGCUACUUGAUUAAACUUGAAAUAAUUUGCCCAAGCUUCCAUGUAUUACUUUUUACUUUCACCUUAAUUAGAAUAGAAGCAACAAUUAGAAGAAAAAGAAAAAGAAAACAGAAAACACAGACAACAG
This 293-nucleotide unclassified non-coding RNA is filed under the name Hevea brasiliensis (rubber tree). Lineage: Eukaryota; Viridiplantae; Streptophyta; Magnoliopsida; Malpighiales; Euphorbiaceae. The record is from RNAcentral.